UACGGAGGGAGCUAGCGUUGUUCGGAAUUACUGGGCGUAAAGCGCGCGUAGGCGGCUUUGUAAGUUAGAGGUGAAAGCCCGGGGCUCAACUCCGGAACUGCCUUCAAAACUGCUAAGCUAGAGUUCGGAAGAGGAGAGUGGAAUACCCAGUGUAGAGGUGUAAUUCGUAGAUAUUGGGUAGAACACCAGUGGCGAAGGCGACUCUCUGGUCCGAUACUGACGCUGAGGUGCGAAAGCGUGGGGAGCAAACAGG
RNAcentral lists this ribosomal RNA (253 nucleotides) under uncultured bacterium. Its description in RNAcentral is "partial 16S ribosomal RNA". It matches the Rfam family "Bacterial small subunit ribosomal RNA", at positions 524 to 776 of the family's 1533-position model. The record is from RNAcentral.